This 440-nucleotide ribosomal RNA is filed under the name uncultured Pseudomonas sp. RNAcentral's name for it is "bacterial SSU rRNA". It matches the Rfam family "Bacterial small subunit ribosomal RNA", at positions 358 to 790 of the family's 1533-position model. Lineage: Bacteria; Pseudomonadati; Pseudomonadota; Gammaproteobacteria; Pseudomonadales; Pseudomonadaceae. The record is from RNAcentral.
GGAAUAUUGGACAAUGGGCGAAAGCCUGAUCCAGCCAUGCCGCGUGUGUGAAGAAGGUCUUCGGAUUGUAAAGCACUUUAAGUUGGGAGGAAGGGCAGUAAGCGAAUACCUUGCUGUUUUGACGUUACCGACAGAAUAAGCACCGGCUAACUCUGUGCCAGCAGCCGCGGUAAUACAGAGGGUGCAAGCGUUAAUCGGAAUUACUGGGCGUAAAGCGCGCGUAGGUGGUUUGUUAAGUUGGAUGUGAAAGCCCCGGGCUCAACCUGGGAACUGCAUCCAAAACUGGCAAGCUAGAGUACAGUAGAGGGUGGUGGAAUUUCCUGUGUAGCGGUGAAAUGCGUAGAUAUAGGAAGGAACACCAGUGGCGAAGGCGACCACCUGGACUGAUACUGACACUGAGGUGCGAAAGCGUGGGGAGCAAACAGGAUUAGAUACCCCGG